Molecule: ribosomal RNA, 508 nt
Filed under: uncultured bacterium
Lineage: Bacteria
Description: partial 16S ribosomal RNA
Rfam family: Bacterial small subunit ribosomal RNA
Source: RNAcentral
GAUGAACGCUAGCUACAGGCUUAACACAUGCAAGUCGAGGGGAAACGAUAGAGAAAGCUUGCUUUUUCUAGGCGUCGACCGGCGCACGGGUGAGUAACGCGUAUCCAACCUGCCCAUCACUUGGGGAUAACCUUGCGAAAGUAAGACUAAUACCCAAUGACGUCUCUAGAAGACAUCUGAAGGAGAUUAAAGAUUUAUCGGUGAUGGAUGGGGAUGCGUCUGAUUAGCUUGUUGGCGGGGUAACGGCCCACCAAGGCGACGAUCAGUAGGGGUUCUGAGAGGAAGGUCCCCCACAUUGGAACUGAGACACGGUCCAAACUCCUACGGGAGGCAGCAGUGAGGAAUAUUGGUCAAUGGACGAGAGUCUGAACCAGCCAAGUAGCGUGCAGGAUGACGGCCCUAUGGGUUGUAAACUGCUUUUAUAAGGGGAUAAAGUGAGCCACGUGUGGCUUUUUGCAUGUACCUUAUGAAUAAGGACCGGCUAAUUCCGUGCCAGCAGCCGCCGCCG